AAUCUUAACAGAACCCUUCGGGGUGAAGAUAAGACGGAUUAGCGGCGGACGGGUGAGUAACACGUGAGUAACCUGCCUUUUACACAGGGAUAGCCUCGGGAAACCGGGAUUAAAACCUGAUGAAACUAUCAAAUCACAUGAUUAAGAAAGUUAAAACUCCGGUGGUAAAGGAUGGACUCGCGUCCCAUUAGCUAGUUGGUGAAGGUAACGGCCCACCAAGGCAACGAUAGGUAGCCGGCCUGAGAGGGUGAACGGCCACAUUGGAACUGAGAAACGGUCCAAACUCCUACGGGAGGCAGCAGUGGGGAAUAUUGCACAAUGGGGGAAACCCUGAUGCAGCGACGCCGCGUGAGCGAAGAAGGCCUUCGGGUCGUAAAGCUCUUUUAUAUGGGAAGAUAAUGACGGUACC
Molecule: ribosomal RNA, 409 nt
Filed under: uncultured Peptoniphilus sp.
Lineage: Bacteria; Bacillati; Bacillota; Tissierellia; Tissierellales; Peptoniphilaceae
Description: bacterial SSU rRNA
Rfam family: Bacterial small subunit ribosomal RNA
Source: RNAcentral